GACGAACGCUGGCGGCGUGCUAACACCUGCAAGUCGCACGGAAAGGCCUUUUCGGAGGUACUCGAGUGGCGAACGGGUGAGUAACACGUGGGUGAUCUGCCCUGCACUCUGGGAUAAGCCUGGGAAACUGGGUCUAAUACCGGAUAGGACCGCACUUUAGUGUGUGUGGUGGAAAGUUGUUUCGGUGUAGGAUGAGCCCGCGGCCUAUCAGCUUGUUGGUGGGGUAAUGGCCUACCAAGGCGGCGACGGGUAGCCGGACUGAGAGGUUGGUCGGCCACAUUGGGACUGAGAUACGGCCCAGACUCCUACGGGAGGCAGCAGUGGGGAAUAUUGCACAAUGGGCGCAAGCCUGAUGCAGCGACGCCGCGUGGGGGAUGACGGCCUUCGGGUUGUAAACUCCUUUCGCCAGGGACGAAGCGUUUUGUGACGGUACCUGGAGAAGAAGCACCGGCUAACUACGUG
This 462-nucleotide ribosomal RNA is filed under the name uncultured bacterium. RNAcentral describes it as "partial 16S ribosomal RNA". It matches the Rfam family "Bacterial small subunit ribosomal RNA", at positions 28 to 507 of the family's 1533-position model. The record is from RNAcentral.